UCUGAUAAAAAAUUACUCACACAACUUUUCUCUCCAAACACUCCUCUUCUCAAAUUUCCGCUUCAUUUCUCUCAAUCAGCUCAACUUUUCUUAGGGAUUCUUCAAAUUGUCACUUUCAAAUCUGUUAAAUCGCUUCUCAUUUCACAAAAUGUGAACUCUAUUUAGGUAAGUGCUCAAAUUUCUUUCAGAUGGUAUUUUUUCCCCCUAAUCUUACUUCUAUUUCUUUAACCCAUUCAUAAAUCUGUUGCAGAUUCAAGUGUUUUGAAGUUUUAAGGCAAAAGGAUCUCAAAAAUCUACAGAAAUCAGAAGUUGCUGGAAGGUUUUAAGAAGAAAGGUUCGAAGUUUGAUUAUCACUACAAGAUUUUGAUGUUUUCGAAGUUUUGAAGUUGUUCAAAG
Molecule: long non-coding RNA, 396 nt
Filed under: Solanum tuberosum (potato)
Lineage: Eukaryota; Viridiplantae; Streptophyta; Magnoliopsida; Solanales; Solanaceae
Description: long non-coding RNA (STUB_LNC001468)
Source: RNAcentral